AGCUGCAGUCGAGAUCUUUCGCAUGGGCGCAAGCCUGACGAAGCGACGCUGUGUGAGUGAUGAAGGCCCUUGGGUUGUAAAACUCUUUCGCCUGGGAACAAGAGAGGGUGGUGAAUAACCAUCUAAUUUGAGCGUACCAGGUAAAGAAGCACCGGCUAACUCC
This 163-nucleotide ribosomal RNA is filed under the name uncultured Chlamydiales bacterium. Its description in RNAcentral is "partial 16S ribosomal RNA". It matches the Rfam family "Bacterial small subunit ribosomal RNA", at positions 347 to 504 of the family's 1533-position model. The record is from RNAcentral. Lineage: Bacteria; Pseudomonadati; Chlamydiota; Chlamydiia; Chlamydiales.